UCUCCGUUGGUGAACCAGCGGAGGGAUCAUUAAAGAGUUUGUUACAACUCCUAAACCCAUGUGGACUUACCUUCUGUUGCCUCGGCAGGCAGGUCGCAUCUUGCUACCCUGUAGGACCCUAUCCUAUAGUACCUUACAGGGGAAGGUACUACCCGGAGAGACCUACCCGGUAGAGAGAUGCGGUGCCACCUGCCGGUGGACUGAAAAACAAAUUCUGUUUAGUAAAUGGUAUUCUGAAUCAUUAUAUGGAAAUUAAGUUAAAACUUUCAACAACGGACCUCUUGGUUCUG
RNAcentral lists this unclassified non-coding RNA (290 nucleotides) under plant metagenome. RNAcentral describes it as "partial contains small subunit ribosomal RNA, internal transcribed spacer 1, and 5.8S ribosomal RNA". The record is from RNAcentral.